Molecule: non-coding RNA, 117 nt
Filed under: Pan paniscus (pygmy chimpanzee)
Lineage: Eukaryota; Metazoa; Chordata; Mammalia; Primates; Hominidae
Also listed under: 1 other name
Source: Rfam by way of RNAcentral
GCCGGGCGUGGUGGCUCAUGCCUGUAAUCCCAGCACUUUGGGAGGCUGAGGCGGGUGGAUCACCUGAGGUCAGGAGUUCGAGACCAGCCUGGCCAACAUGGUGAAACCCCAUCUCUA